Molecule: small RNA, 108 nt
Filed under: Pannonibacter phragmitetus
Lineage: Bacteria; Pseudomonadati; Pseudomonadota; Alphaproteobacteria; Hyphomicrobiales; Stappiaceae
Description: Guanidine-I sequence
Rfam family: Guanidine-I riboswitch aptamer
About the family: This family represents a conserved RNA structure found upstream of the ykkC and yxkD genes in Bacillus subtilis and related genes in other bacteria.
Source: Rfam by way of RNAcentral
GAGUUUAGCGGCUAGGGUUCCGGCGUUUCAUGACGUGGCUGGUCCGAGAGCUGCUACCGGCGGGGAGACAGUCCGCCGGGUGCACGGCGGGAUAAAAGCCCGGGAGAC